RNAcentral lists this ribosomal RNA (251 nucleotides) under uncultured Pasteurellaceae bacterium. RNAcentral describes it as "partial 16S ribosomal RNA". It matches the Rfam family "Bacterial small subunit ribosomal RNA", at positions 524 to 774 of the family's 1533-position model. The record is from RNAcentral. Lineage: Bacteria; Pseudomonadati; Pseudomonadota; Gammaproteobacteria; Pasteurellales; Pasteurellaceae.
UACGGAGGGUGCGAGCGUUAAUCGGAAUAACUGGGCGUAAAGGGCACGCAGGCGGUUGUUUAAGUGAGAUGUGAAAUCCCCGAGCUUAACUUGGGAACUGCAUCUCAGACUGGACAACUAGAGUACUUUAGGGAGGGGUAGAAUUCCACGUGUAGCGGUGAAAUGCGUAGAGAUGUGGAGGAAUACCGAAGGCGAAGGCAGCCCCUUGGGAAGAUACUGACGCUCAUGUGCGAAAGCGUGGGUAGUGAACG